CACCGGUUGGUGCGUGGCAUCUCUAUGAGGGAAGCAAUCAUUGACAUUUCGUUUGACUAUGGCGAUGCGCAUCGACGUGGUUGGUAUUUUUGGUAAAACACUGGUAAGACUUCCUGUGGAUGGCGGAGAGGCGAGGUAGAAGCAAUGUGGUCAGGGCAUGGAUUAAAUUAGUCAAAAGUUUUCAAAAUUUCAUAGUAAGCAUGUUUUAUUUAAAAUAAUGGAAUAUUGUAGCGAGGCAAGAACCUAUUACGUAUCUGAAUACCUUAUAUUUGGGCACCCCCCAACCGACGACCCAGGCCGGAAAACAUGCGAAAAAAUGGUAAAAAUUAA
Long non-coding RNA from Glossina fuscipes, 330 nucleotides. RefSeq lists it as uncharacterized. The transcript is spliced from 3 exons. The record is from RefSeq and is a predicted model, not a curated record. Lineage: Eukaryota; Metazoa; Arthropoda; Insecta; Diptera; Glossinidae.